GACGAACGCUGGCGGCGUGCCUAAUACAUGCAAGUAGAACGCACAGUUUAUACCGUAGCUUGCUACACCAUAAACUGUGAGUUGCGAACGGGUGAGUAACGCGUAGGUAACCUGCCUGGUAGCGGGGGAUAACUACUGGAAACGAUAGCUAAUACCGCAUAAUAUUAAUUAUUGCAUGAUAAUUGAUUGAAAGAUGCAAUUGCAUCACUACCAGAUGGACCUGCGUUGUAUUAGCUAGUAGGUGAGGUAACGGCUCACCUAGGCGACGAUACAUAGCCGACCUGAGAGGGUGAUCGGCCACACUGGGACUGAGACACGGCCCAGACUCCUACGGGAGGCAGCAGUAGGGAAUCUUCGGCAAUGGACGAAAGUCUGACCGAGCAACGCCGCGUGAGUGAAGAAGGUUUUCGGAUCGUAAAGCUCUGUUGUAAGAGAAGAACGGGUGUGAGAGUGGAAAGUUCACACUGUGACGGUAUCUUACCAGAAAGGGACGGCUAACUACGUG
This 505-nucleotide ribosomal RNA is filed under the name uncultured bacterium. Its description in RNAcentral is "partial 16S ribosomal RNA". It matches the Rfam family "Bacterial small subunit ribosomal RNA", at positions 28 to 507 of the family's 1533-position model. The record is from RNAcentral.